GCCAGACUCCUACGGGAGGCAGCAGUGGGGAAUAUUGGGCAAUGGGCGCAAGCCUGACCCAGCAACGCCGCGUGAAGGAAGAAGGCCCUCGGGUUGUAAACUUCUUUUAUUCGGGACGAAACAAAUGACGGUACCGAAUGAAUAAGCCACGGCUAACUACGUGCCAGCAGCCGCGGUAAUACGUAGGUGGCAAGCGUUAUCCGGAUUUACUGGGUGUAAAGGGCGUGUAGGCGGGAGAGCAAGUCAGACGUGAAAUUCCAGGGCUCAACCCUGGAACUGCGUUUGAAACUGUUCUUCUUGAGUGAUGGAGAGGCAGGCGGAAUUCCGUGUGUAGCGGUGAAAUGCGUAGAUAUACGGAGGAACACCAGUGGCGAAGGCGGUCUGCUGGACAGCAACUGACGGUGAGGCGCGAAAGCGUGGGGAGCAAACAGGAUUAGAUACCCCUGUA
This 448-nucleotide ribosomal RNA is filed under the name uncultured bacterium. RNAcentral's name for it is "bacterial SSU rRNA". It matches the Rfam family "Bacterial small subunit ribosomal RNA", at positions 330 to 792 of the family's 1533-position model. The record is from RNAcentral.